This 468-nucleotide ribosomal RNA is filed under the name uncultured bacterium. Its description in RNAcentral is "partial 16S ribosomal RNA". It matches the Rfam family "Bacterial small subunit ribosomal RNA", at positions 28 to 507 of the family's 1533-position model. The record is from RNAcentral.
GAUGAACGCUGGCGGCGUGCUUAACACAUGCAAGUCGAACGGAAAGGCCCAAGCUUGCUUGGGUACUCGAGUGGCGAACGGGUGAGUAACACGUGGGUGAUCUGCCCUGCACUUCGGGAUAAGCCUGGGAAACCGGGUCUAAUACCGGAUAGGACGAUGGUUUGGAUGCCAUUGUGGAAAGUUUUUUCGGUGUGGGAUGAGCUCGCGGCCUAUCAGCUUGUUGGUGGGGUAAUGGCCUACCAAGGCGUCGACGGGUAGCCGGCCUGAGAGGGUGUACGGCCACAUUGGGACUGAGAAACGGCCCAGACUCCUACGGGAGGCAGCAGUGGGGAAUAUUGCACAAUGGGCGCAAGCCUGAUGCAGCGACGCCGCGUGGGGGAUGACGGCCUUCGGGUUGUAAACUCCUUUCGCUAGGGACGAAGCGUUUUUGUGACGGUACCUGGAGAAGAAGCACCGGCUAACUACGUG